UGUGAGUGUUGCUUUGACCCCAGCAUCUGCAGAUUAUUUUGUGUUUAGGGUGCAUUUUGUCCUUCUGCUUAAUCAAUGUACAGUAUUAGGCAUUCUUACAGUAAUGCAUCUGCUGGUUUGCAGUUUGUCAAGGACUCAAGUUCUAUUGGCAUAAUUUUGCAGGAACACGAUUAAAAAAACACUCUGGUACAAUACAGGUUCCAUUUUGUUACAAGUAAAGUACAUUUCCACAUUCCCUCCUUUUUGUCAUUUCAUGACAACUCUACAUUUCACCAAAUACAUUAAUUGAAAUAUGUUUAUAAAGCAAUGAUGCAGUUUCAAAGCCCAACCCAAAAUUCCCUUUUUGUCCGUCCAUGUCAAUGAGCACCCAUUCCUUUUCUUAAUAUUCUCUUCUUCAUCCUGUUAUUUCUCACAAAAAUUGUAAAAGAAUAACAGCCAUUAUUCUAACACCAAUUGUUAUUUCAUAAUACAGAGUAGUUAUCUACCAUCUUCUCAGUGUUCUGAAUGGCCAACGUCCACCUUCCAGAGUGUAGUAGUUGUGAUACCGAUCCCUCACUUUCUUAACCUUCUCAGAUGUAGUUUGCCAAGUUAGCUAUAUUUUCUGAUUUAUCACAUAUGUAAGAGCAGCAUUCUUGCUCUAUCAGGGCACAAAAGCACCCCUUUUCUGACAGAAUAAAAUCCAAAGCCAUUCUGUUCUGGAAUGCUACUGUAUGAACAGCCAGCAGUUCUGCCAACAACUUGGUAGAUGCUUGCUGGGUUUGAUCAAAGGGACAGGCAGUCUCUUUCGCUAUUUUCUCCAAAGCCGAUGCCAUAUUAAUCAGUUGCUGGGACAAUCUUGCAGUCCCAAACGCAAGAAAAGCAAUCAUCCAAAAUCACUUGGCCUCUGGUGCCACCGGACCAAGGGCCAGGUUUCACAAAUGAAGCACUAUGUAGGCAAGUUAAGAGCAGCCCUUCCAGGGCCAUGACUCUCUCCACCUCCCCUCAUACUGAGGGGAAACGUCCGGCAGCCGGGGGUGGGCCCAGUAAGCACAUACCCAAUAAGUUCCAUUCAGCAAAUGGGGAGGACUGAAAUUUGUCUGUUCCGUACAUGUAACUGCUCCACAGAUAGGGGUCCUUGCCCCUCACAUUGCAGUGCCAUGUUACCUGAUCAACACCCGCGGCCACUGCGUCGGACAGUUUCAUGUGAGGAACCUGGUCCCAAUACUUCUUGUGACUGCACCAAUCCCUCUUAAACGGAGGAACAUACCAUGCAUUAAAACACUCGUAAUGGCAAUCUGUGUCUGUUUCCGGGUUUCAGUUUGUUUCCACUCAUUCCCGAGCGUGGACGCUGAACCCAUUUGUUGGAAUUAAAGGGAACCGCCCAUAGCGGGACUCCGCCUUCACCAUGGAAUGGAACAUGGGUAGAAAGUCAAACAUGCUGAAAUGUUCAAUCUUUGGGCAUAUUCAUUACCGAAAAGGAAAGAGAUAUAAGCAGGGGCACUGUUUAUAUGUGCCCAGGCGUCCCUUAGUUCCAGCUUCGCCAGUGGGAGCAGGGCGAUCGGUGCAGUGUUGAGGGGUAAUUCCCUCCUCCUCACCCUCCAGGAAAAGAGUACUGUGCCCUGCGGCAGUGAUGGUCACUUUACGUGGCUCAGCCGUGCCAUCCUAUCCGUCUCGUUUGGUUGGAGGGCCCAAAGUUGCGGUGGGACUUUGGAGAGUAAGAGUUCCACAUCAGCACUGAACAACAGCUCUUGUACAACCUCCGCUCCUAAUGUACGAGGGAGCGAUCAAAGAAAGUCCUCACCUCCUUCCAGUCGCCACAGACACCAUUCAGUCGUUUCCGGGACCUUCUGUCAUGGCGGUCCUCACUGAGCCUUCACCAUUGGUCCAAGGUCCUAGGUCCUUUGCGCUUCACUUCUGGAAACUGCCGGAGUCAGGUGGGGUUCGGUUUUCGGGAUCACUGAACCAUGCGGGGAAGAUGCGCGACUGCCACAGCACCGGAAUCACAAUUAUGGCAAUAUUUCAGAACAAUUUCCUUGCCGAUAUAGGGGUCCAAUUUCUGAUGCAUACAAUGGUCAUUUCCAGCGAGUACAGAGCGAAAACAUGUCUUGGGCUGGAACAUGUUCAAUCACCGUUGUUAGCAGUGGAGGAUUUCAAAGGUCUACAACCUUUCAACAAGGAAUGUGCUGUCAGCCGAUCGGGAUAGUGGAAUACGGAGAAAGUUCUGGAGAACGCUGGCAGGAGCUGGAGGAGGACAGGAGGGAAGAUGGCUCAGGAUACUGUACCUGUUGCACAAGGUGCUUUGUGCAGAUGAAUGGCUUCAGGAAAGAACCACCAAUACUCCUGUGGGAGACCCGUUUGUCCGAGGUGGAUUACGAGCGACGUUUGGAAGGUGGUGUGUGCUUUCACGCAGACUGAGGGUCCAACACAUGAGUGACAGACAAAUUCAAGAUGAGCUCCAACUUAAGUGCACAUUUGGCUGUUUAAGAGUAAUGGGCCCUUUUUGUUUCUUGUUCUUUCUUUUAUUUAAUAACUGUUUGCUUAAAUUAACAUUCUUAAAUAUACUUUAUAAAUUGUAUGCAGUGUACAACGCUAUUUCAUGUCGGGGGCAGUAAAUCACACGGCAUUCACACAAACCAGGGUUUGGGUGAGUGAGACAUCCCAACCUCACGGAUUUGGUGGGGCCAAAGUUGUACACAUCCUAGAUGUAUGAAGCCGGAGAAAGGUGGGUUUAAUCACCACGGAAUCCAGUGGCUGUGAGCGAGGGGGUAAUGAGCCACUUUUCCAGAGAUGCCCAGAAAAGGGGGGGGGGGGGUUUCAUUUAAUAUAAAUAUUUUUGUAAUGUCUCCUGAUUCAAAUUACAAUGUUAACACAAUGUCAAUUAUCUUAACAUAUAACACAGAUUUAUCCACUGUGUGCAAUGACUGCAAGACCUAGUCACAAAGCCCUUGCACUGGCUGGGCUCUGCUUCACCAUGCUUCUCGGUCACCUCUGGACCUUGAAUCUUGCAGCACACAGCCAAGAAUGGCACCAGCCAGUUUCAGGAAUUUGAGGACAGUUCUCCAGCUGCAGUUGAGAACUGUUCUUGUGUGUAUCCCAGGAGAAAAGCCUUUACAGAGCGAGGCUCAACUAAUAUCUGUGUGCCUUCCUGGACCUACGUGUUCUCUACAGGGAGAUGGGUAACUAUCUCAUAUCCAGUGUAGCCAUCACAAGUGUGUUUCUGAUCAUAUACAAGGGAUCAGCAGGCUGGCCCCUCCUCUCCCCAAGGCAAGGCCUCAUUGCUCGUUUCAAAGUUCUUCUGAUGAAGCAUUCUGUCAGGAUGUGUAACUUCUA
Molecule: long non-coding RNA, 3309 nt
Organism: Mobula hypostoma (lesser devil ray)
Lineage: Eukaryota; Metazoa; Chordata; Chondrichthyes; Myliobatiformes; Myliobatidae
Exons: 3
Source: RefSeq, a predicted model, not a curated record